UACAGAGGUCUCAAGCGUUGUUCGGAUUCAUUGGGCGUAAAGGGUGCGUAGGCGGCGCGGUAAGUCGGGUGUGAAAUCUUGGAGCUUAACUCCGAAACUGCAUUCGAUACUGCCGUGCUUGAGGACUGGAGAGGAGACUGGAAUUCCUGGUGUAGCGGUGAAAUGCGCAGAUAUCAGGAGGAACACCGGUGGCGAAGGCGGGUCUCUGGGCCGAAACUGACGCUGAGGAGCGAAAGCGUGGGGAGCGAACAGG
RNAcentral lists this ribosomal RNA (253 nucleotides) under uncultured bacterium. Its description in RNAcentral is "partial 16S ribosomal RNA". It matches the Rfam family "Bacterial small subunit ribosomal RNA", at positions 524 to 776 of the family's 1533-position model. The record is from RNAcentral.